Molecule: ribosomal RNA, 463 nt
Filed under: uncultured bacterium
Lineage: Bacteria
Description: partial 16S ribosomal RNA
Rfam family: Bacterial small subunit ribosomal RNA
Source: RNAcentral
CCUACGGGAGGCUGCAGUGAGGAAUAUUGGUCAAUGGACGCAAGUCUGAACCAGCCAAGUAGCGUGCAGGAUGACGGCCCUCCGGGUUGUAAACUGCUUUUAGUUGGGAAUAAAAGGGGGCACGUGAGCCCCGUAUUGUAUGUACCAUCAGAAAAAGGGACCGGCUAAUUCCGUGCCAGCAGCCGCGGUAAUACGGAAGGUCCGGGCGUUAUCCGGUUUUAUUGGGUUUAAAGGGAGCGUAGGCCGGCUUUUAAGUCAGCUGUGAAAGUGCGCGGCUCAACCGUGGAAUUGCAGUUGAAACUGGAGGGCUUGAGUUCACACAGGGAUGCCGGAAUUCAUGGUGUAGCGGUGAAAUGCUUAGAUAUCAUGAAGAACGCCGAUCGCGAAGGCAAGUGUCCGGAGUGCAACUGACGCUGAGGCUCGAAAGUGCGGGUAUCAAACAGGAUUAGAUACCCCAGUAGUC